UGAACACAGCUGGUGGUAUCUUGU
This 24-nucleotide microRNA is filed under the name Biomphalaria glabrata. RNAcentral describes it as "piRNA piR-bgl-91313". The record is from RNAcentral. Lineage: Eukaryota; Metazoa; Mollusca; Gastropoda; Planorbidae. RNAcentral also lists the same sequence under 1 other name.